Molecule: long non-coding RNA, 478 nt
Organism: Canis lupus familiaris (dog)
Lineage: Eukaryota; Metazoa; Chordata; Mammalia; Carnivora; Canidae
Exons: 4
Source: RefSeq, a predicted model, not a curated record
AGGGAGAGGGAGAAGCAGGCUCCAUGCAGGGAGCCCGACGUGGGACUCGAUCCCGAGGUCCCCAGGAUCCCACCCCAGGCUGCAGGCGGCGCCAAACCGCUGCGCCACCAGGGCUGCCCGACAGCCAUCUUUUAAAUCAUCUAUGUGGGAUAGCCUUGCAAAGAUGCUGCCCCAUUUGCACAGUUCUCCGUGGAUACUCUUGAGAAGGCAGGCAUUAUUAAGUCAUCAUUCCCAGAAGGAGCUAUGAAACUGAAGUUAGAAGUAGCAGCUCAUUCUAUUUGGUAGAAGAGUUUCUGGAAGAAUUAAAUACGAAUUCCUUAUCCCUAAUCUAACCCAUCUCUGAAGGAAGGCAAAGACAGGUGCAGGAAGAGUAGAGGAAGGUAAGAGUGUCUUUGUACUGACUGUUUCUUAAGUAACUUUAAUUCAAAAGAAUUAAUAUGCCAAAGUGGUAUAUUUUGGGGCAGUGUCCCAGAAGCAC